This 253-nucleotide ribosomal RNA is filed under the name uncultured bacterium. RNAcentral describes it as "partial 16S ribosomal RNA". It matches the Rfam family "Bacterial small subunit ribosomal RNA", at positions 524 to 776 of the family's 1533-position model. The record is from RNAcentral.
GACGAACCGUGCGAACGUUGUUCGGAUUCACUGGGCUUAAAGGGCGCGUAGGCGGGGUGCCAAGUCAGGGGUGAAAGCUUUCGGCUCAACCGGAAAAGUGCCCCUGAUACUGGUGCUCUGGAGUGAGGUAGGGGCAUGUGGAACAGUGGGUGGAGCGGUGAAAUGCGUAGAUAUCCACUGGAACGCCGGUGGCGAAAGCGACGUGCUGGACCUCGACUGACGCUGAGGCGCGAAAGCUAGGGGAGCAAACGGG